UGGCUGCCCCCCCCCCCCAUUCCCGCUCGGGGCCUCACCUCAGCCUAGCGGGCUACGACCCCUCACUCUGCCCAAGUUCACUCGUCUUUGCUGGGUGCUGGCGAACCCCAUAAAGGACGCGCGCAGGGCCAGCUGCCCCGUCGCUGCGCCGGGCUACUCGGCGGUACGGGUUAUGGGAGUCGGGACAUCCGACGGCAGUCCCCUUCAGAUAUUUACUGACCUGUUCAACCCUGUGAUCCAGGAGCAACACAGUGGCUAUGACUCCCAGAUGUUAAAGCACACCACUGACCUGGAUGCCAUAAGGUCAUUGCCAAGGCCAGGCUCCCAUGUGAAUUCUAGAAACAUGAUCGGAUCUGUAUACCUCAUAAGUGCUCAAACAGGUCAGGUAUUACUCAUCUACUUGGUGCACUUUGAUAAGGCGUAAGGGGAGGUUUGGAAGCAGACCCACCUUGGGAAAUAAGGAUGGUGCCUUCAGCUACUGC
This 482-nucleotide long non-coding RNA is filed under the name Chinchilla lanigera (long-tailed chinchilla). Its description in RNAcentral is "lncRNA (ENSCLAG00000027816.1)". The record is from RNAcentral. Lineage: Eukaryota; Metazoa; Chordata; Mammalia; Rodentia; Chinchillidae.